RNAcentral lists this long non-coding RNA (5713 nucleotides) under Anolis carolinensis (green anole). RNAcentral's name for it is "lncRNA (ENSACAG00000039028.1)". Lineage: Eukaryota; Metazoa; Chordata; Lepidosauria; Squamata; Anolidae. The record is from RNAcentral.
UUCACAAUAUUCGACCUUAUUUUUUUCGCAGUUAGCAGCAACUUCCCGUCGCACGUCAGGAGGGGCAAUGCCAGCUAACUUGUAGAGUUUAUCAACAGGUGUUGGUUUAAGGCAUCAUGUGAUUAUUCUGCAUGUUUCGUUUAGUGCUAUGUCCACCUGCUUUGCACGGGCAGAUUUUUGCCAGACAGGACAGGCAUACUCAGCAGUUGAGAAAGACAAGGCCAGGGCUGAUGUUCUUAAUAAUUGUGGGUCUGCACCCCAUGCUCUGCCAGUAAGUUUCCGCAGGAUGUUAUUGCGUGCAGCUACUUUGUGCUUGGUGUUCAUGCAGUGUUUCCUAUAUGUUAGUGUUCGAUCUAAGGUGACACCAAGAUAUUUAGGAUGGAAGCAGUGAUCGAGCUCUUGGCCUUCCCAAGUAACUUUCAGUUUCCUGUUGGCUUCACUGUUACAUAGUUGGAAAACACACACUUGUGUCUUGGCAGGGUUAGGCUUCAGGUGGUUCUUUUUGUAGUGGCUGGAGAGAUCUUUCAAGGCAUUAGUGAGUUGGUUUUCAACUGUUUCAAAAAUAUAUUCAAGGAAAAUAUUCAUAACCUGUUAGGAUUAUGAUUCAGGAUAUCAAGCAUAACAUUUAUAUUUAUCCAGUGUCUAGUCAAAAGCACAGUGGAACAUUCAUGUUUUUUAUUCUUUACAGAAGGUGGACAGGGUGGGUACCUUUUCGGCGCAAAUCAGGAACUCUGAAGAAUAUUGUUGCCCGAUUCAUAAAAUCUCAGUUUCUACAGACUUUGAACAUAUUUUUUAAAGAUAGAGUCACAUGGAGAACAGAUGGAAAUAAGUUUGCAUCAUAUUAGGGACUCUGUGGGACUUUAAACUGUUUUUAAAUUGUGUAGAAAUUGGGGGAGGGGGAAUCCUGCGUCUGAUGAGGUACUUAAAUGGUCAGUAGAGAUAGGGCUCAAGUGCCACAAUAACAACAAGAAAAGCCAUGGAAAUCAGGGCAGGGUAGAUAUUUGUUUGUUCCUGACAUACACCUAAAGCAGCUGGAUCUACACAUCUUCACUCAGCUCUCAAUGAUAUCAGAAAAGGAGAGAGAAGUUUUGGUCUUAUUGUUUUGAAGAUUCUCAACUACAAUUUGUAAUAUCACUUCUUAGGCCAGAGUAAAAUCUGCAUGGUAUCUGGCAGCUCAAGAAUUUCCAGUGGCAUAUUCAUGGAUAGUAUGUUGGGAACUUCUCUGACAUCUAUAUGAAAUUAAUAAAUGCUUUUCUUUCAGGGCGGGAGAGCACGAGUAGUUCAUCUGAUAUUACUUUAGAUUCUCAUCUUCGAUAAUGAAGAGGUGGAGAAUAUUUCUUCUCCUCCUGUUUUCACACUUCUACAUUUCUUAGCGCACCACGCUUGGAAAGACUGUAAAAAUGUUAUAUUUCAGUAACGCAAUAAUUGAAAAUCUAGCUUUUUGAACAUCAGUCUCAAGUUAAUCUUACUAAAGGGAGGGAAUAUGAAAAGUAACAUUAUGCGGGUGGAACUUCCAUACCAUAUGGUGCAGAUAAGCACAGAUUCCAUUCUUAGCAUGAUCUCUUUUGGUACCAUUUCUGUAGGAUGAAGGUGCCAACAAUCUGGCCUUGCCUGAUAACAGCAAAUUUCCUUCUUACUUACAGUGGAGCCUAGAAAGCCCUGGUGGGACUGGGAUUUGCAUAAUAUAUACUGCAGCAUUUUGCAUGGUGAUAAUGUUAUUAUAAGUAUCCUGUAUGUAUUUAAUAAGGGGUAGAAUGCAAAUUGUGCAGUCAGGAAUAUAUAUAUAUAUAUAUAUAUAUAUAUAUAUAUAUAUAUAUGGCUAAAAAUUGCUCCAUACAUUACAGUUUUUUGUUUGGUUGCUCUUACACAUACAUGUGCAUAUGACAAAUAAGGGUAUUCAGUUCCUUUUGUUGUACAGUUACUGUACAUAAAUGAGGUAGAUGUCCUGUGUGAUGUUUUGGUAAGCUUAAUAAAGAUGUUAGUAUGAUAUGCACACUACAGUGUUUCUCAUUUCCACCCUAGCCAAUUAAAGCAAAGACUUUCUGUAUAUAUUUCAGAUUUCAAGAUUAAUGUCAAAAAUAUGUAGUAUGAUUUUACAUAGGAUUUGUGCUACAUUAGAAAAGUAAAGACAAAUAUCACUUAAGUAAAAUAACAUUAAAUAACAAAAAAUAAGGUGUAAACACUAAACUAAUCACAUCUAAUGAAGUGGUUUAAAACCAGUAUUAAAAAAGAUUAGGACUAAGUUCGUUCCAGUCUACUUGGAAUACACGAAGCUCAUUCCGAAGAGCCUUGAUUCCCAGUGUGACCAUCAUCUCACUUUCUUUGCUAGUUAACUUGUAUCCAGUAUGCUUUAUUAUUCUAAUUGUUUGCCUUAGAUAGUUGAGCAAAUCGUUUCCAUGGUUGCCUCUCGCUAGUAUCGGGGCGAAAACUGGAGGUUUGUUGACGAUUCCAUGUAAGAUUUGAGUUCGUAUGCAAUCUUUAGAUUUUAGUUCAAGAAUGGACAGCUGUGAUCUCCUGAUGUUUUUGGUCAGCAUAUCUCAUGAUCCUAAUGGAGCAGCUCUUGAAUAUUUCAUUUAAAGACCCUAAAAAUCCCUUACCUAGAUGACCCUUACUCAAAAAUCUUGUUUUUCCAUGAAAGUGUUGACAGGACAUGUUCUGCCUGACAUUUGCUCUUUGCUCACAAUAUAAGGUCAUGCAAACAACAGUAACGAUUUGGCUGCUGGAUGAUGCAUAUGUGGGAUGAACUAUGAACAUGUCACUUGAGGAUAGUGCAUACGUGGAGCAAACUAUGGACACUUCACCCGAUGUGAUGAGUAAUGAGUUAUAUAAGUUACAAGGCAACUACGCAUGUUCAAAAGGAUUAUAAUAGUCAGCAAAUUCCAUUGUCAGCUUUCUGUGCAUGCUUCUGUAAAAUUGUAUAAAUUGGAAAGCCACUACAGGCAAAGGGUGGCAUUGUGUUUUCUGGGCAUUAACUAACAUUGUCACCUGCUCUUGGCCAAAAGUAAACUAUCUUGAAGACAACUUCUGCUGUCAGUCUGCUUUCUUCACCUGCGUCCAAAUGAAAUUCCACAACAAUCCUUCAUAUUUGGCCAUGCUGGAUAGGACUGAAGGCUGAAAAAUAUCUGGAGGCCACAUUAAUCCAGCUUUGCUUCACGCAGUAAUAAUACCUAAUUUAAAACAGGGGUGUGCACAAUACUGUUUUGUGAUACUGUUUUUGGGGGAUUCGGGCGACCCGGCAGCUGACCCCCAGGAAACGGGAAGGGCAGAAGAGGGGCAGCCAAAGGCUCGGCAAUAACGGGGCAUGUGGUAAUUUAUUGCUAGUAUUGUGCUAUGCUAAUAAUAUAAUAUUGUAUGUAAGUUUAAUUUGUAAGCCACUCUGAGUCCCCUUCAGGGUGAGAAGGGCGGGAUAUAAAUGUAUUAAAUAAGUAAAUAAAUAAAUGUGGGCGGCUUAUCUUCAACUGCAUCCAGCUGCCAUGUGAGUAGAGCAGCCAUGCACAUGGGUUUUUCCCUAUUAGCUUUGCCAGAGCUAAUCAGAAGAAGAAAGCAAAUACGUGUCUUUUUGCAGAGGUGAUCUAUAUAUACCAGGCUGAGCUCCGCCAUUUUUCUGUGUUGCCCUGGUAUUUGUGAGAGAGAGGUUGUGUGCUAGCUAGCUCCGUGUUCUACAUCCCAGUGCUAUUGCUGCUUCUAGUGCUUAGGGAUUGUUUUUUUGAGAAUUCCAGCCUUUUUCUUCUGCAUUAAAUUUUCUUAGUUAUUAUCUUUCUUAUACUCCUUCUGUUAUUUUGCUAGUAAUUUAUCUAGGAAGGAGUGGACAGGUGUGCGCUUGGGGGAAUGUGAGUUUUAAAUGGGCUUUUUUGUGUGUUUGUUUAAAUAUUUUUACCUCUUUUGCUUUAACUUGAGUGUGGGAUAGUUUUAAUGCAUAAUAUGACUUCCUUGAAUCCUCAUGGGGGAAUUCCCCAGCCCUAACUUCUGGCUCCUGUACUCUGUUCUACACCAGCAGCCUAAGUCCCUCCUAAGCCUCCUAAGCAGCCUAAGUCCUCUCCGUCUCUGCUAUUUCCUCCCCAUUCCCAAUUUUUGGCUUGUGUGUGUGUACUCCUGCACCAUUCCAGCAUCCUUCCUCCCCCACUCCCAAAUAUUUUAAAAUUACAACCAAAAAAAAAAAGGAUUUUCUUCUAUUUUAUUCACUUCUUCUACUCUCUCUUAUUUGUCUUCUGGCUUCUGUGUGUGUACUGUGCAAAGCCUUAAGCCUGGGCCUUUCUUUCCUCAAAAAUAUUUUUAAAAUACCAACACCACCCCUUUAUUACUCCCUUCUUCUGCCUUAUGCUUGCAAAAGUAUUGCAGUGCACACACACAAACACAUAUAAUAAAUAUAGGAAUGAAUAUAUAUAUAAUUGUUUUAUUUAGGAAACUUUUAAAAAAUCAUAAAAAUCAGUAGAUGAGUGGAAAUUCCAGGGAAUAUCUCUUUUGGGUUUUUAAAAGGGCAUUUUAGUUAUAGAAAUUUUAAAAUUUUUCUAAAAAUCAGUGGAUGAGCCAAACAUUCUGAAGCUUGGUAUCAUAAAUACGCUGUCCAAGUAUGGUAAUUUUCAUUCUAAUUUAAAGCUGAGUGAUUUGAAUAAAACUAUUCAGAAAAUAUUAUCAUUGGUCUGGUCCAACACAUGGUUAUAAAAAUAAACAUAAAACUAUUUGAACUAGGGUUCAGGAAAUGUUUGAGGGAUUAUUAGGGGGAGUACUAAUACAGUAGAGUCUCACUUAUUCAAGCCUCACUUAUCCAAGUUUCUGGAUUAUCCAAGCCAUUUUUGUAGUCAAUGUUUUCAAUAUAUUGUGAUAUUUUGGUGCUAAAUUCGUAAAUACAGUAAUUACAACAUAACAUUACUGCGUAUUGAACUACUUUUUCUGUCAAAUGUGUUGUAUAACAUGAUGUUUUGGUGCUUAAUUUGUAAAAAUCAUAACCUAAUUUGAUGUUUAAUAGGCUUUUCCUUAAUCCCUUCUUAUUAUCCAAGAUAUUCACUUAUCCAAGCUUCUGCUGGCCCAUUUAGCUUGGAUAAGUGAGACUCUACUGUAUUACGAUUUGACAAAUAGUAGGAUCAAGCAAUACAUAGAAAUGUAUUUAUUAGCAUAUUGUAGAGAGUGUCGCACCUCAGGCUAGUUUCACCUUGCUUUAUACACCAGGCUGCGCACAGGUUGAAGUCUUUUGUAGUUUAUUAGGAAACAGGAAAUAAACAGUUCUUAAAAGCAAAAGUACAGGUCCAAAAGAUUGUUGCAAAACAAGGCUUCAAAGAAUAACCCAAGAAAUCAUAAGGCAUAAAACAAGGUCCCAUUAGAGCAUCACAAAGUUCCAUGAACAUGAACACACAAAGGUUGCAAGAUAAUCCAGGAAGACGAGAGCCUGCUUCUUUACUUGAGCAAGAAGUUGCUUUGACAAAAGUUUGUCUCCCAACACACAGUUUUAAUAACCUUUGCAUAGCAUGAAAGGAUUUCUUUGGCCUCUGACCUCCUUCUUGUUUGCUAUUCUAACACUCUUGCGAACCCUGAAUUCCAAACGGCCAGCUCAAUCUAAAGAUUCAGUUUAAUCAAGGCCAGCCAGCUUGUUAGCGUCUGUCUGCAUGCUAUCAGACUGAGAACUAUCCUCCCUUCCUAAGGCAAUUUGCACCUGGCUAGUUUCAGUAUCAUCAACACCAUUCCCUGCUGUGGGAAAGCUUCCCUGUUCCCCAUCUUC